GAUGAAGAACGCAGCGAAAUGCGAUAAGUAAUGUGAAUUGCAGAAUUCAGUGAAUCAUCGAAUCUUUGAACGCACAUUGCGCCCCCCAGUAUUCUGGCGGGCAUGCCUGUUCGAGCGUCAUUUCAACCAUCAAGCCCUGCUUGUGUUGGGGUCCUGCGGCUGCCCGCAGGCCCUGAAAACCAGUGGCGGGCUCGCUAGUCACACCGAGCGCAGUAGCACAUCUCGCUCAGGGCGUGCGGCGGGCUCCAGCCGUUAAAGCACCCACCUUUCGCAAGGUUGACCUCGGAUCAGGUAGGAAGACCCGCUGAACUUAAGCAUAUCAAUAAGCGGAGG
This 333-nucleotide unclassified non-coding RNA is filed under the name soil metagenome. RNAcentral describes it as "partial contains 5.8S ribosomal RNA, internal transcribed spacer 2, and large subunit ribosomal RNA". The stretch from base 1 to 120 matches the Rfam family "5.8S ribosomal RNA", at positions 35 to 154 of the family's 154-position model. The record is from RNAcentral.